GUUCUUGCUUGGACAGCACAUAUACUAAGAUUGGAACCAUACAGAGAAGAUUAGCAUAGUCCCUGUGCAAGGAUGACACGCAAAUUCAUGAAGCGUUCCAUAUUGUU
This 107-nucleotide small nuclear RNA is filed under the name Castor canadensis (American beaver). Lineage: Eukaryota; Metazoa; Chordata; Mammalia; Rodentia; Castoridae. The record is from RNAcentral.